RNAcentral lists this ribosomal RNA (462 nucleotides) under uncultured bacterium. RNAcentral's name for it is "SSU rRNA". It matches the Rfam family "Bacterial small subunit ribosomal RNA", at positions 26 to 518 of the family's 1533-position model. The record is from RNAcentral.
AGGAUAAACGCUGGCGGCGUGCCUAACACAUGCAAGUCGCACGUCCUACGCAAGUAGGGAGUGGCGGACGGGUGAGUAAUACAUGGGUACCUGCCCCGAAGUGAGGAAUACCACCGAGAAAUCGGUGACAAUACCGCAUACGUUUCUUUCGCAAGAAGGAAAGAAAGCCGCAAGGCGCUUUGGGAUGGGCCUCUGGCCGAUUAGCUAGCUGGUGGGGUAAUGGCCUACCAGGGCGACGAUCGGUAGCUGGUCUGAGAGGAUGAUCAGCCACACUGGGAUUGAGAACGGCCCAGACUCCUACGGGGGGCAGCAGUGAGGAAUUUUCCGCAAUGGACGCAAGUCUGACGGAGCAACGCCGCGUGCAGGAAGACGGCCUUCGGGUUGUAAACUGCUUUUCUCUGGGACGAGUACGGACGGUACCAGGAGGAAUCGAGCCCCGGCUAACUACGUGCCAGCAGCCGC